This is a long non-coding RNA of Etheostoma spectabile (orangethroat darter), 228 nucleotides long. RefSeq lists it as uncharacterized. The transcript has 4 exons. Lineage: Eukaryota; Metazoa; Chordata; Actinopteri; Perciformes; Percidae. The record is from RefSeq and is a predicted model, not a curated record.
CUCUGCCCCUGACACCUUCGUAGUAGGCGACAUACGUCUGCUAUUUCCUUGCUGGAGCGUGAUGUCAUGUGCAGGUGCGAUGGAUCGCGUACAAACCAAUAGGAUGUCGGAAUGGUACAGUAUAUAUGUUCAUGCUUCUCAUCCAACCACAGUCAAAUUCACUCUAUCCGGAUGGCACGAUUUAUCUGGAUAGGUUUUUUUGUGUGUGGGUUUUUAUCAACAAUGACA